UUGUGUUUUCGGGGUUGGAGACCCGUGUUUGGGGCUUGAUUAAGCGUUGCUCACCCAGCGAGGGUUGUUUUUCAACAGCCCCUUAGUCAGCGGACAGCGGGUCGGGGCCGUUUUGCACCGCCCGUGGGGUGUCUCUCCAAGCAGAGGACAGGAAUCGCUAAGGGUUCCUCGUGCAGCAGCGUGUGCGUGGGACCUGCGGGAAAAGGCGUUCCUCUAGGACAGAGUGGAAGAUAUGUGCAGGGAAUAUCAUCUUCGGAUUCAUAUCUGGGUUUUGAAGUGUGUUUUUCCCUGCAGGGUAAGUGACGAGGGAGCCUGCUGACGCACUACGGUCUCCCUACAGAGUGAUUGGCACCGACUAUAGAUUCCUACCCUUGGGAGGAUGCCAUGGAAACAAAAAGGAGCCUCGCUUCACUCUCGGGUUAAUCCUCAGAGCACGCCUCUUCCCGGCCUGACCCAAGCACCCUUUAAAACGUCUGGAUGGAUCACUUUGAGCCAUCCCGGCCUCAAAAAAUAUCUAGGCAUGAGAGGAGAGAGGAUUUACGCUACCAGAGGAUAAACUGCUGGUCAACUGUACACUAAAGAAAUUAAGAUAAUAUCCGGAUGGAUGAACACACUGAUGGACUACAAUAGAGAACCAAGAUAUAGCCCCACCUUUAUGGACAGUAGUCAAUAACAAAUGCGUCAUAAAAAGAAAAUGUAAAUAAUAAUAAAAGUUGGCACAACAGAGUACGGGAAAGGACCUACUUUGCAUUGGAUCACGGUGUUUGUAUGGUAAAAUACGAAAUCGGAUUCCUUCCUAAUGUACACCAAGCACAGCAGUAAAUCCCACGUGAAUUGUUGACCUAAAGCUUUGGGGGACAGCAUGAGGGAAUACCUGCCUCUCUUAGUUCCAACGAAGCCUUAAUUAAAGACACAAGAGUGUUAUGCUUCACAAGAUGACUGUGCUAUCCUCUAUGUUCUUGUCAAAAGAUGCCAAUAAGAAAGAGAACAUGUCUGGAUGUUUUGCUCAGUGGUAAAGUGUGAAAGGCACUCGAUGACCUGACAGAGAAAAAAGGCUCGAGUGAUGGAGCUUCGGAUUCCUGGAGAGUAUCUGGGGAACUCAGAGACCUCUCUCUGUCUGCUGUGGUGUCAGAAGUUUUGCACUCAGGAGGAGAUGGAACUAUGUACAGUCAGGCCUUCUUGGCUUCCAUCCGAAGUGACUGCUCUUUCAGCUCAGAGCUUUGCUGGCCAGGAGAUUUCAAAUCUGCUUUUCCAGGGGUCCCCCUCCCACUUUUUUGUUUGUUUAUUCAUUGGUACUAAGACUGUCAGAUAAGAUAUUUUGCCUCACAAACUAGUACACACACAUACACACCACUGAAAUACAAGUUUAAGAAAUAUGAUCCGAGUUAGGCGGUGGUGGCACACGCCUUUAAUCCCAGUGCUUGGGAGGCAAAGGUGGACGGCUCUGUGAGUUUGAGGCCAACCUGGUCUACAUAAGGAAACCCUGUGUUGAAAAACAAAAAAAGAAGAAAGAAGAAAGAUAAUCUGGGCUGGAAAGAUGGCCCACUGGUUAAGAGCAGAGGAUCUGUGUUCCAUUCCCAGCGCCCACAUCAACACCCUCUUCUGACCACCUAUGUACACAAGCAUGCACGAGGGGCACAGACAUAUAUACCUGCAGGCACAAUAUUCAUGCAUGAAAUAAAAUGAGUACAUCUAAAGCGGGGGAGAUGGUCCAGGUGUGAUGGCGCAUGCCUUCAAUUCCAGCCCUCUGUGGGAGGGGGGAUCGUGGAGGCCGACUAUAUUGUAGUGAAUUCAAGGCUAGCCUGGGGCCACCUGUCUCCGGAAAAAAGCCACAGAAAAGAUACUUAUCCUUAACAUGUAAGAAUACAUUCUGA
Molecule: long non-coding RNA, 1874 nt
Organism: Mesocricetus auratus (golden hamster)
Lineage: Eukaryota; Metazoa; Chordata; Mammalia; Rodentia; Cricetidae
Exons: 2
Source: RefSeq, a predicted model, not a curated record